Molecule: long non-coding RNA, 1009 nt
Filed under: Mytilus galloprovincialis (Mediterranean mussel)
Lineage: Eukaryota; Metazoa; Mollusca; Bivalvia; Mytilida; Mytilidae
Source: RNAcentral
AAUAACAAUCAGAUUCAGUUUGCUUUUUACUAGAAAACAAACUGGUCACAAGAUAAGGUCACUGCAACAAAAAAUAUUUCAUAUUUCAUUCUGAAUAUUUCAUGGUAACUCUAUAUACACAAUCAUUAAUUGAUGGGUAUAAUUUAAUAAUCAAUAACAGUUAUUCUUCAAUGUAAUACAUAUAUAAAAUAAAACACUCUGUGUCUGAAUGGGCAUAGUGUUUAAGUUUCCAAUUUUGAAUACAGAAUGGAACAAUUUCAAUUCAACAGAAAUAUAGUUUUGCAUUAUAGGUAUGACAGGUAUCAAGCAUUGAUGUUUUAACUGCAAUAAAUUUACAAUCUACUAGAAGUAAAAGAUUAUUAACAUUUUCUAGAUAAGGUAAACCCUUCUAAGUAUGGAAUUCUGAUGUAUUUUAGAGAGCACUUCCUAACACAGCCAAAUGAAUGAUGAUUGACAAUAACAAUACAAGGGAUUGAGAAGUUGUAUCUCUGUGAUGAAUAUCACCUUCCUUUUUUUCAUGAGUUUUGGUUAUGCUGUUAUCUGACAGGUGUACCUACCAGUACCUUGUUAAUUGUAUGUCAACAGAAUUUCAUAGUCAUUUGGUUGAAUUACAUCUCUACAUAUAACUGAAAAUAUUCAUUCCAUACAAAACUUUUCUGUUGAUACUGUGAAAGUACUUAAAUUCGUGGGUAUCAAUGUUCGUGGUUUGAACAGUAUUUACAUGUUCGUGGGUUUUUAAAUGCGUGGAUUUUAGUUUUCUAUAAAAAAAAAUUGAAAUUAAAGCCUUUAGAAACGAAGGUAACAAAUAUAAGUCUUGAUUGAAGGAAAUUGCAAAGUAAACAUUGACCUGGUAGUGAUAACACUAAUUAACCCAUGAUAAAGUGAUCACCAUAUUAAAGACCAUCAAAGGUGUUAAUUAGGCCAUAAACAUGGCACCUAAAAAAACAGUAUUAUAAACAAAUGCUAUAAACGUAUUUUGAAUUGUCAAAUAAUUCUUAUCAAAAUCAAG